UCAACUCAAGCCACUAAUUUAAUAAUAAAAAUAAAAAUAGAACACGAAAUAUAAUUAAAUUCCAGAUGAAGAACACUUAUUCCAAUGGUUUGCUUGAAAAACUCACGAAAAAUCGCUCAAAUUCGAAGUUUACAACUCAAGAUAUGAUAAAAAUGGCCAAAACCUCGAUUUUGAAAAAUAUAUUCAACUGCCCAGGUAACAUGUAUCGCGAUCGCGAAGAAGAAAUCAUCAACUGCCCAGAGAAACAUUACGCCAACGUGGAGGCAAAAUUUUCCAAGAUACGUGAUCUCGGGCUCCUAUUCGCGAACGCGGAGAACAAUAUUGCCUGCCUCCAAAUUACACUACGAGAACACGAAGGCAUUGACGCAAACGUGAUGAAGGAAACCAGAUGACAGAAUGAGUAACUCUAAAGCAUUACGAAGUGGCCCGUAGCCCAUCCGAAACAUACCCGAGGCCCUCGGGACCCCAUCAAAACAUGCCAACAAGUUCCAUAAUGUAACGCAUACCUACUCGAGGCCUCAAAUCACAUCAAACAACGUCGGAACUACGAAUCACACCUCGAAUCGAACUUAAGAAAUUCCAAAUCUUCCAACUUCCAAACUCGUGCCGAAACAUACCAAAUCAAGCCUGAAUGAUGUCAAAUUUUGCAUGCAAGUCCCAAAUGAUAUAACGGAGCUAAUCCAACUCUCAGAAUUGCAAUCCGAGCCAAUAUCACCAAAGUCGACCCUCGUUCAAACCUCUCAACCUUCCAAAACUUCAACUUUCCAAUUUUUGCCAAAAUUCUUCAAAUUACCCUACGGACCUCCAAAUCCAAAUACGGACGCACGCCAAAGUCCAAAAUCACAUACAAAGCUAUUGGAAUCAUCAAAACUCCAUUUCAGAGUCGUCUACAGAAAAGUCAAAACUCCAGUCAGCUCUUACCGCUUAAGCUUCUAAAACAAGAAUCCUUCUUCCAAAUUGAUCCCGAAUCAUCCGAAAACUGAACUCGACCAUACAUGCAUGUCAUAACACAUAAUACGAAGCUGCUCGAAACCUUAAGCUGCCGAACGAGACAAAAAUUCUCUAAAUGACCGACCGAAUCGUUACAAAUAUUUAUAGCUUAAAUAUUUCCAAUCAACUAUGAGACAAAUGAGAUUAUUUUAUGAAAUUUAUAUACCAAAUACAAAUCUGUGCUUGUUCCUUAGCCAAAUCUAUUGAAAGGAUUAGAUAAUUUUCAUUAAUAAAUUGCAGUAAGAGCAAUAAAACUUAAGUGAUUCUUACCACAUCUAAUAUGUGUAGACCAGAGUAAAUCACUUUGUAAAGUUGACAGUCAUCUGAACUUAUUUAUAGCUUCAAGAUAAUCAAAUUGUAAGCCAAUAACAUUACUUUGUGAAAUGUAUAUGCUAAAUAUAGAUCUCUCUUUCAUUGCAAUCAGAAGCAGAAAAAGAAAAACUUUUCGAUUAAUCAGUUUUAUGAUACUAACUAUUAAAUCCAACUAUGAAUGUAUAAUUAUCGCUUCAUAUUACAAUUCGUUUCGCUAAUAUGAACUAUUUAUAUAAAGAACCUUAUAAAUAUCAUUAGGUACUUUAUUCAUAAAAUUGCAUCAAACACAGUAACAUAAUAUGCUAGAUCAAUUAGUGGUUAAUAGUUCUUUUUACUAUAAAAAUGUAAAUAAAGAACAUGCAAUGCCUUAUCAGUGACAAUCAACUAAACAUAUUUAUAGCUUAAAAGAUUAUGAACCUCUAAUACUCAAUAUUAUUUUAUGAAACUAUAUACUAAAUACAGAUAUGUGCUCUUUCCUUAAUCAAUUAUAUUAGUAGAAAAGAUUAAUUAGUUUCAAAUUUUUAUGUAAAUACUUGUAAGAGUAGUGAAAUUAAGAGAUUAUUACUGAAUGUGAUAAGUGGAGAGCAGAAGCCAAAUCACUUUGUAAAGUUGAAGAGGGCAAGGGAGUGAGUCGGGAACUAAUUCAAUUUUGGAAUUUGGCAGAUAUAAUCCUAGUGAGGCAAAGCAGCUUCAAUUGACAACUUAACGCAACUACAUUCAUAACUCUUGUAAUUGCCUUUGAUCUAGCCAGCCUAUACCCACUCACCUUAUCAGUCGUUAAUUGAAACAUGGAAAACCUAAGCUAAUUGGUCCCGUUGAGGAACAUACUGUACUUUCGUAAUUUUGGACUAUUUGCUUGAAACAAAUAAGUUUAAUCAAACUUAUCCCUGUAAUAAAUCUUUAUGAAAUCCAACUAAUAAAGCUUCUUGAAUGAGAUUCUAAUGUCUAACCUUGUUGAAACAAGGAUUUUCAUUUUAUUGUUCCAAUGUAAAACUCUAUCUGCUUUCACGAAAUCUUCUUUCCAUAACUUCAUAAACAUGAUUUAUUACAGGGAAAAGGGCCAAAAUUGUCCCUAUACUAUCGAAAAUUAGUUACGUUUAUACCCGUUUUUACUUUCGGUCCAAAUAUAGGCCUGCCGUUAAGAAAGUAGACAAAAUCGUCCCUAACCCUAACGGUUGUCCAUGACUCAGCAACUAAAAUGACACGGUGGACUCCAUGUCACUAUUUAUUUUCCAUCUGUAAUAAUAAAUAACUAAACUCACUAAAAUUAGUCUUCUCCUUCUCUAACAAUAUACCACCAUUGCUGCAAAUUCAAGGUUCUUAUCUUGCUCCACAAAAUUAUUUCAUAAAUUUCCAUCAUUACCAGUCAGUGUUUGAACCACAACUCCAACCGUCUUCCACCAAGAAAAUAUCCCAUCUUCUCUCCACCUAGAAAAUCAUCAGCAAUCACUCAUCGGAAAUACCCACCAAAAGCUUCAACAGAAACCAUCUCUUUAAAUACUACCAGCCACUCAUCAAAAAAUUACCUUUCUUUUCUUCCAUCUCUCGCUCCUCUUUACUGGUCAUAACUGGCUAGUGACACUCCUUUUCUACAAAAAGAAGAAGAGCUAGAUCCAGAAGAAAAAAAUCCUCCAUAAAAACUCAUUUACCGGUGACCUCAUGUUUCUUUUUAAAAUUCCACCCAAAGAAAAAAUCUUUUUUUGCUAAGAAAAUUCUUUACUACUUGAACAUAUCUAAACUAGUAAAAUCUUGAUGGAACAAUCUUUUUCGCAAACAAAGAAGAAUCAACUGGGUGAGAAUCGUUUCGGGAAUUUUUGAUCUGUUUUGGACUGAAUAGACCAAAGAAUCUAACAUUGGAAUGCUAAAACUAUUCAAAGCUGCAACUUGUUAUUUAAAUUAGAAUUAGUUAAAUCUUUGUGCCUUGAAUCUUGAAAGUUAGAGAAGAAGAAGAUUAAUUUUAGUGGGUUUAAUUAUUUAUUAUUACAAAAGAAAAAAUAAAUAGUGACAUGGAGUCCACCGUGUCAUUUUAGUUGCUGAGUCAUGGACAACCGUUAGGAUUAGGGAUGAUUUUAUCUACUUUCUUAACGGUAUGCCUAUAUUUGGACCGAAAGUAAAAACAGGUAUAAACGUGACUAAUUUUCGAUAGUAUAGAGACAAUCUUGGCCUUUUCCCCUUUAUUAUAAGUGGAAAAUUAAAGAAAAUGUAUAUGCAAAGUCCAAUCCGCACUAACGUACUAACCAAUCCUCUCCCAAGAUUAGUAGUGAUAUUAUUUUUGGUCUCUUUUCCAACAGCAAAGUAUCCCAAUACCCCAAAAAAACCAUACAUCAAAAAUAUGAAAGCCAUCGACAAACCCAAUUUUUUUUUUUUUUCAAAUUUGUCCUUAUCUUUCAUCUCUGAUUCCAAAAGGUAAAAUCGUUCCAACACCUUUUAAAGCAUAAAUAGAUACACCAAGACCGCGUUGGAAAAAAAACCUAAACCCACCAAAUACUUCAAAAACAUGUCUCUUUUUAAGAAAGAUUAAAACAUCCUCAACCAUAACUACCACCAUAGUACCUGAAUGAACAUCGGCAAAUAUACUCAAAGAGGUUAAGUGAGUAAUUGUGGGGAUUGAAUUCAACCCAAAUUGAAAUGGGAAACAACUCCAAAUAUGUCAGUUUUUUCUGGACGAAUGACAAAAAAUGAUGGACGAAUAAUCUAAUCAGUUUAAACAAUUUAUAUGCAGCAACUAUUCCGAAAAUCAAGAAAACAAGAAACUAAAACUCACCUUAUAACUGAACAAUCAAGGCGAAUAAACUGUCCAGGAAGAGAGCUGACUAAAAGAGACUAGAGAAUUGGAAGAGGAGGUGAGCAGCGGUGGAAAUUUUGAGGAAGAAACAGAGUGUAGAGACUGUGGAAAUCGGGAGGAAACAAAGUGUAGAUGAUAUUCGUUUGAGCGGUGUAAAGUAACGUGUCAAAACUAAAGUAGGGUUAACACAUGAUUCAUGCCAAAUAUUUGUAAUUUUUUCAAA
Molecule: long non-coding RNA, 4310 nt
Filed under: Nicotiana tabacum (common tobacco)
Lineage: Eukaryota; Viridiplantae; Streptophyta; Magnoliopsida; Solanales; Solanaceae
Description: long non-coding RNA (NTAB_LNC002661)
Source: RNAcentral